This 404-nucleotide ribosomal RNA is filed under the name uncultured prokaryote. Its description in RNAcentral is "bacterial SSU rRNA". It matches the Rfam family "Archaeal small subunit ribosomal RNA", at positions 322 to 725 of the family's 1478-position model. The record is from RNAcentral.
CCUACGGGUGGGCAGCAGGCGCGAAAACUUUACAAUGCUGGCAACAGCGAUAAGGGAACCUCGAGUGCCAGGUUACAAAUCUGGCUGUCGAGAUGCCUAAAAAGCAUUUCAUAGCAAGGGCCGGGCACGACCGGUGCCAGCCGCCGCGGUAACACCGGCGGCUCGAGUGGUAACCGUUAUUAUUGGGUCUAAAGGGUCUGUAGCCGGCCGGAUAAGUCUCUUGAGAAAUCUGGCAGCGUAACUGUCAGGCUGUCAGGAGAUACUGUCUGGCUCGAGGCCGGGAGAGGUGAGAGGUACUUCAGGGGUAGUGGUGAAAUCUUGUAAUCCUUGAAGGACCACCAGUGGCGAAGGCGUCUCACCAGAACGGACCUGACGGCAAGGGACGAAAGCUAGGGGCACGAACC